AUGAGUGAGCUGCACAUGGUGCUGCCUGGGAAAGAAAGGAAGGGAAUGUCCACAACCACAGCAGAGAGUGAUGAGCAGAAUUCAGGAGAGGAGGAUUGUUCUUUAGCAAAAUGGGGCCCUCCCGGGGGUCAGCCCGUCCCACCGAGUGUCCACCAGCCCCUGAACCUCGGCUGCCCCGCAGGAGAGAGCUGGGAGAGCUGGGGAAUCCUGUACCAGAGAGCUCGGGAAUCCUGUACCAGAGAGCUCGGGGAUCCUGUACCGGAGAGCUGGGAGAGCUUGGGGAUCCUGUACCGGAGAGCUUGGGAAUCCUGUACCGGAGAGCUCGGGGAUCCUGUACCGGAGAGCUCGGGAAUCCUGUACCAGAGAGCUGGGAGAGCUGGGGAAUCCUGUACCGGAGAGCUUGGGAAUCCUGUACCGGAGAGCUCAGAGAGCUCAGGAAUCCUGUACCAGAGAGCUGGGGAAUCCUGUACCAGAGAGCUUGGGAAUCCUGUACCAGAGAGCUUGGGAAUCCUGUACCGGAGAGCUCAGAGAGCUCGGGAAUCCUGUACCGGAGAGCUGGGAGAGCUCGGGGAUCCUGUACCAGAGAGCUGGGAGAGCUGGGGAAUCCUGUACCAGAGAGCUGGGAGAGCUUGGGGAUCCUGUACCAGAGAGCUGGGAGAGCUGGGGAAUCCUGUACCAGAGAGCUGGGAGAGCUUGGGGAUCCUGUACCGGAGAGCUGGGGAAUCCUGUACCAGAGAGCUCGGGAAUCCUGUACCAGAGAGCUGGGAGAGCUGGGGAAUCCUGUACCGGAGAGCUGGGGAAUCCUGUACCGGAGAGCUCGGGGAUCCUGUACCGGAGAGCUCGGGAAUCCUGUACCAGAGAGCUCAGAGAGCUCGGGGAUCCUGUACCGGAGAGCUGGGGAAUCCUGUACCAGAGAGCUCAGAGAGCUCGGGAAUCCUGUACCGGAGAGCUCGGGGAUCCCAGGCUGUCCCAGCGGAUGGCACCGCGCUCCCAGGGCAGCCCCAGCCCCGCGGUGCCCAACACGGACACACACACGGGGACAGACGGACACACACGGACACACCGACACACGGACACACACACUGA
Molecule: long non-coding RNA, 1086 nt
Filed under: Cyanistes caeruleus (blue tit)
Lineage: Eukaryota; Metazoa; Chordata; Aves; Passeriformes; Paridae
Description: lncRNA (ENSCCEG00000004658.1)
Source: RNAcentral